CGUCUAUAUACGUAUAGCAUAUCAAUAAGCGGAGGAAAAGAAACUAACAAGGAUUCCCCUAGUAACGGCGAGUGAAGCGGGAAGAGCUCAAAUUUGAAAUCUUCAAGGUUCUACCUUGACGAAUUGUAGUUUAAAGAAGUGUUUUCUGUUGGAGUUUUGGUAAAAGUUCUUUGGAAUAGGACAUCAUAGAGGGUGAGAAUCCCGUAUUUGACCGUUACUUUCCAGCUGUGUGAUACACUUUCAAAGAGUCGGAUUGUUUGGGAAUGCAGUCCAAAAUGGGUGGUAAAUUUCAUCUAAAGCUAAAUAUUGGCGAGAGACCGAUAGCGAACAAGUACCGUGAGGGAAAGAUGAAAAGAACUUUGAAAAGAGAGUUAAACAGUACGUGAAAUUGUCAAAAGGGAAGCGUUUGACACCAGUGUUGUUUAGUUGAAAAUCAAUUCAAUAAUUUUUGAUUUUGAGUAGUAUUGACUUCAUCAGCUUGCUGCUUUCUUUUCAGAAAUUAUUGAAUGCACUUUUCAGUUAACAAGUCAACAUCAAUUUCUUUUGUUGUAAAAGGGUAAGAGGAAGGUGGCUUACGCUUCGGCGUAAGUGUUUAUAGCCUUUUACCUCUGCAAUCGGAGAGAUUGAGGACAGCAGCGUAGACUCUUCGGGGUUAGAUACACUUGUGCUAAGCUAUAGCCUUGUAUAGACAACUUGUUGACUAUGCUCAGUCAUGUAGCUUACUCGCUUGUGCUAUUUUACCUACGCUUAGGAUGUUGAUAGUCACAGCGUGUA
RNAcentral lists this ribosomal RNA (774 nucleotides) under uncultured Neocallimastigales. Its description in RNAcentral is "partial large subunit ribosomal RNA". It matches the Rfam family "Eukaryotic large subunit ribosomal RNA", at positions 26 to 641 of the family's 3401-position model. The record is from RNAcentral. Lineage: Eukaryota; Fungi; Neocallimastigomycota; Neocallimastigomycetes; Neocallimastigales.